This 465-nucleotide ribosomal RNA is filed under the name uncultured bacterium. RNAcentral describes it as "bacterial SSU rRNA". It matches the Rfam family "Bacterial small subunit ribosomal RNA", at positions 338 to 795 of the family's 1533-position model. The record is from RNAcentral.
CCUACGGGUUGCAGCAGUGGGGAAUAUUGCACAAUGGGCGCAAGCCUGAUGCAGCCAUGCCGCGUGUAUGAAGAAGGCCUUCGGGUUGUAAAGUAUUUUCAGCGAGGAGGAAGGCAUUAAGGUUAAUAACCUUGGUGAUUGACGUUACUCGCAGAAGAAGCACCGGCUAACUCCGUGCCAGCAGCCGCGGUAAUACGGAGGGUGCAAGCGUUAAUCGGAAUUACUGGGCGUAAAGCGCACGCAGGCGGUUUGUUAAGUCGGAUGCGAAAUCCCCGGGCUCAGCCUGGGAACUGCAUUCGAAACUGGCAAGCUUGAGUCUUGUAGAGGGGGGUAGAAUUCCAGGUGUAGCGGUAAAAUGCGUAGAGAUCUGGAGGAAUACCGGUGGCGAAGGCGGCCCCCUGGACAAAGACUGACGCUCAGGUGCGAAAGCGUGGGGAGCAAACAGGAUUAGAUACCCGAGUAGUC